UGAGGGACCUGUGUGGUUGUGGUUCACAGCUCUGAAAAUGCAGUUGGGUUCACAGGACUCCUUAAUAAUGUUACUGAAAUGUAUUGAUACCAAAAUGGGAUAUCCAUAAGUGAGGGAGUCUGACCUGUGGCUGGAUGUAUAGGUCUACUUUACAUUGCACUUACAAGAUCGGGUCCAACACCAAGCUUCCUUUCCCCAGGGGCCAGACUAAGUAAGAAGAUGCUUGUGCUAAAAAACUCAGCCCCUCUGAGCAGCUCUCACCCAGUGGAGACCCUGUGGGAGUGCAGGAGCACUGGAGCAAAUUUCCAGGUCAGGAGCGCUGACCAGUGUCCUGCUCCCGAGCCUCCAGCAGAAGGGGCUGGGGAAUUGACCCCUGCACGGAGCCGUGACGAUGCCAGCUGGACCCGGCUCUGGGGCUGUGUGGGGCUCCUGUGGUGCAAAGUUUACAGCUGAAUUUAAGACACUGAGGCUUUUAUCUAUUACCAAAUUCCCUGAAUACUCUGAACGCAAGAAAUCCCAAAGCAGAAGGAGUUGGUCCUAAGUGGUUUAAGACUGAUUUCCCUCUCCCAACUUACAGAGGGAUGUUCAGGCAUCUCAAAUCUCAGCUGCCCUCUGUACCUGCACUUCCCACUGACUAAAGGAACAUGAUUCUC
This is a long non-coding RNA of Chiroxiphia lanceolata (lance-tailed manakin), 653 nucleotides long. RefSeq lists it as uncharacterized. The record is from RefSeq and is a predicted model, not a curated record. Lineage: Eukaryota; Metazoa; Chordata; Aves; Passeriformes; Pipridae. The transcript is spliced from 5 exons.